GGCUCAGGACGAACGCUGGCGGCGUGCUUAACACAUGCAAGUCGAGCGAGAAAGCUCCUUCGGGAGCGAGUACAGCGGCGAACGGGUGAGUAACACAUGGGCAACCUGCCCUAGGGAGCGGGACAACUCGGGGAAACUCGAGCUAAUACCGCAUGAUUCGGCCUUGCAUAAGUAAGGCCGGGAAAUGGUAGCUUAGGCCUCCGCCCUAGGAUGGGCCCGCGGCCGAUUAGCUAGUUGGUGUGGUAACGGCGCACCAAGGCGACGAUCGGUAGCUGGUCUGAGAGGACGAUCAGCCACACUGGGACUGAGACACGGCCCAGACUCCUACGGGAGGCAGCAGUGGGGAAUCUUGCGCAAUGGGCGAAAGCCUGACGCAGCAACGCCGCGUGGGGGAAGAAGGCCUUCGGGUUAUAAACCUCUUUCAGGAGGGACGAAGCCACCAGGGUUAAUAGCCUAUGGGGUGACGGUACCUUCAGAAGAAGCCCCGGCUAACUACGUGCCAGCAGCCGCGGUAAUACGUAGGGGGCAAGCGUUGUCCGGAAUUAUUGGGCGUAAAGCGCGUGUAGGCGGCUUGGUAAGUCUGGUGUGAAACCUUGGGGCUUAACCCCAAGCCUGCACUGGAUACUGCCUCGCUAGAGUCCGGGAGGGGAGAGCGGAAUUCCCAGUGUAGCGGUGAAAUGCGCAGAUAUUGGGAAGAACACNCAGUGGCGAAGGCGGCUCUCUGGAACGGUACUGACGCUGAGACGCGAAAGCGUGGGGAGCGAACAGGAUUAGAUACNCCUGGUAGUCCACGCCGUAAACGAUGGGCACUAGAUGUGGGCGGUGUCGACUCCGUCCGUGUCGAAGCUAACGCAUUAAGUGCCCCGCCUGGGGAGUACGGCCGCAAGGCUAAAACUCAAAGGAAUUGACGG
This 911-nucleotide ribosomal RNA is filed under the name uncultured bacterium. Its description in RNAcentral is "bacterial SSU rRNA". It matches the Rfam family "Bacterial small subunit ribosomal RNA", at positions 21 to 916 of the family's 1533-position model. The record is from RNAcentral.